Molecule: transfer RNA, 67 nt
Filed under: Tiniocellus spinipes
Lineage: Eukaryota; Metazoa; Arthropoda; Insecta; Coleoptera; Scarabaeidae
Description: tRNA-Glu
Source: RNAcentral
AAUUUAUUAGUUUAAAAAAAAAACAUUAUAUUUUCAAUGUAAAAAUAAAUUUCUAAUUUAUAAAUUA